RNAcentral lists this ribosomal RNA (500 nucleotides) under uncultured bacterium. Its description in RNAcentral is "partial 16S ribosomal RNA". It matches the Rfam family "Bacterial small subunit ribosomal RNA", at positions 30 to 523 of the family's 1533-position model. The record is from RNAcentral.
AUUGAACGCUAGCGGGAUGCCUUACACAUGCAAGUCGAACGGCAGCGCGGACUUCGGUCUGGCGGCGAGUGGCGAACGGGUGAGUAAUGUAUCGGAACGUGCCCAGUAGCGGGGGAUAACUACUCGAAAGAGUAGCUAAUACCGCAUACGCCCUACGGGGGAAAGGGGGGGAUCGCAAGACCUCUCACUAUUGGAGCGGCCGAUAUCGGAUUAGCUAGUUGGUGAGGUAAAGGCUCACCAAGGCGACGAUCCGUAGCUGGUUUGAGAGGACGACCAGCCACACUGGGACUGAGACACGGCCCAGACUCCUACGGGAGGCAGCAGUGGGGAAUGUUGGACAAUGGGGGCAACCCGGAUUCAGCCAUUCCGCGUGUGCGAUGAAGGCCUUCGGGUUGUAAAGCACUUUUGGCAGGAAAGAAAUCGCACGGAUUAAUACUCUGUGUGGAUGACGGUACCUGCAGAAUAAGCACCGGCUAACUACGUGCCAGCCGCCGCAGUAA